AGUGAACGCUGGCGGUAGGCCUAACACAUGCAAGUCGAACGGCAGCACAGUAAGAGCUUGCUCUUACGGGUGGCGAGUGGCGGACGGGUGAGGAAUACAUCGGAAUCUACUUUUUCGUGGGGGAUAACGUAGGGAAACUUACGCUAAUACCGCAUACGACCUACGGGUGAAAGCAGGGGAUCUUCGGACCUUGCGCGAUUGAAUGAGCCGAUGUCGGAUUAGCUAGUUGGCGGGGUAAAGGCCCACCAAGGCGACGAUCCGUAGCUGGUCUGAGAGGAUGAGAAGCCACAGUGGAACGGAGACAGGGCCCAGAACCCGAGGGGAGGCAGAAGGGGGGAAGAUGGGAAAAGGGGCGCAAGCAGAACCCACCCAUAGCGGGGGGGGGAAGAAGGCUUGGGGGUUGUAAGGCCUUUUUGUGGGAAAAAAAAAGAAGAAGGUUAAUACCCCGCUGUUAGGAGGGUACAAAAAGAAAAAGCACCGGAUAACUUCGU
This 491-nucleotide ribosomal RNA is filed under the name uncultured bacterium. Its description in RNAcentral is "partial 16S ribosomal RNA". It matches the Rfam family "Bacterial small subunit ribosomal RNA", at positions 30 to 506 of the family's 1533-position model. The record is from RNAcentral.